Molecule: microRNA precursor, 88 nt
Organism: Camelus ferus (Wild Bactrian camel)
Lineage: Eukaryota; Metazoa; Chordata; Mammalia; Artiodactyla; Camelidae
Rfam family: mir-7 microRNA precursor family
About the family: This family represents the microRNA (miRNA) precursor mir-7. In this case the mature sequence comes from the 5' arm of the precursor.
Source: Rfam
CAGCCAGCCCCAUCUGGAAGACUAGUGAUUUUGUUGUUGUCUCACUGCGCUCAACAACAAGUCCCAGUCUGCCGCAUGGUGCCGGCUA